GACUGGCUGUGCGUGAGGAGGGAGCCUGCCCAAUGGCAGCCCGGCGGCUGUGGCUAUAAAGGUCGCGGGAGGAGGCGGGCGCAUUCUCUCCGCGCGGCGGUAGCUGAGGUUACUUGAUGCUCUGGUCAACGCAAGUUGAGGAAUGAAAUGGACCAGAAGAGCUCACUUCCAUUGUUGGCAUCAAAACAGCUGUAAAGCUUAUUAAUUCAAAUGCAGAGGCUUUAAUUUGGAUUUACUUUAAAGCACGUGUGACCUGUUAUGCAUUUUGAAUGAAACAUGAAAGGUAUAUUGUAUUAGUGAAAUGUAAGCUAUUAAAAGAAGUGAAACAA
Mauremys mutica (yellowpond turtle) is the source of this 329-nucleotide long non-coding RNA. RefSeq lists it as uncharacterized. The transcript has 3 exons. The record is from RefSeq and is a predicted model, not a curated record. NCBI's taxonomy places the organism in Eukaryota, Metazoa, Chordata, Testudines, Geoemydidae.